CCUAGGGAGGCUGCAGUGGGGAAUAUUGGACAAUGGGGGGAACCCUGAUCCAGCCAUGCCGCGUGUGUGAAGAAGGCCCUCGGGUUGUAAAGCACUUUCAGUGAGGAAGAACGCCUGGUGGUUAAUACCCAUCAGGAAAGACAUCACUCACAGAAGAAGCACCGGCUAACUCCGUGCCAGCAGCCGCGGUAAUACGGAGGGUGCGAGCGUUAAUCGGAAUUACUGGGCGUAAAGCGCGCGUAGGUGGCUUGAUAAGCCGGUUGUGAAAGCCCCGGGCUCAACCUGGGAACGGCAUCCGGAACUGUCAAGCUAGAGUGCAGGAGAGGAAGGUAGAAUUCCCGGUGUAGCGGUGAAAUGCGUAGAGAUCGGGAGGAAUACCAGUGGCGAAGGCGGCCUUCUGGACUGACACUGACACUGAGGUGCGAAAGCGUGGGUAGCAAACAGGAUUAGAUACCCUAGUAGUC
This 464-nucleotide ribosomal RNA is filed under the name Vreelandella stevensii. RNAcentral describes it as "partial 16S ribosomal RNA". It matches the Rfam family "Bacterial small subunit ribosomal RNA", at positions 338 to 795 of the family's 1533-position model. The record is from RNAcentral. Lineage: Bacteria; Pseudomonadati; Pseudomonadota; Gammaproteobacteria; Oceanospirillales; Halomonadaceae.